This 767-nucleotide long non-coding RNA is filed under the name Daucus carota (carrot). Its description in RNAcentral is "long non-coding RNA (DCAR_LNC002417)". Lineage: Eukaryota; Viridiplantae; Streptophyta; Magnoliopsida; Apiales; Apiaceae. The record is from RNAcentral.
CCCGAUUAUUUACAAAAUACUACAAUUAUGGGAAUAAAAUCAUAUAAAAGCAUAUAUAAAUAUAUGCUCUAUCAAAUAUCCCCACACUUAGUGUUUUGCACGUCCUCGGACAAAUAAAAUAAAUAAAACUAACACCUAAUAGAUAUAUACCACUUCCGUAGGUGAUCACGGUUGCAUUUGGCAUAUGCAACAAGCCCUUUAAACCCCUAGGCAGCCCUAGUGGACGAGUAAGGUCUCGUGAGGGCCUAUAGUGAAUGUACCCACAAAAUUCAUUUUUUUUUUCUUUGCCAAGUCUUAAGAAUGCAACUAAUAUGAAUGCAGACUAACUGAAUAUGCAUAGAUCCCAAUCAUGAAAUUAUCAACCUUGUCAACAUAUCUGCCAAGUCUUAAGAAUGCAACUAAUAUGAAUGCAAACUAAAUGAAUAUGCAUAGAUCCCAAUCAUGAAAUUAUCAACCUUGUCAACAUAUAAUCCUCAGAAUAUGCAACAAUCAAGGAUUUCAUCUAUCACACAUAUUAGUCAUGCAACUCUUUCACUGCAAGUACGGAGUGCAUCGUGUGUGCUCAACAUGCUCUCUAAUGAAACGAAAUAGAGACCAACAAAGUUCAACAGAAUCUUAACCAUGAGUCGUUAAUCAGAAUAAUGCUUAAACACUUCGUUACAUUAGAGCCAACUACAGUUUAGGGUCACCAAGGAACUUCCAUGCCUCUCCUAUAUAUGCUUCUCUUUUUUUUCUCUUUUUCUUUUUUUUUUUCAAUAUCUAUUAUU